RNAcentral lists this unclassified non-coding RNA (167 nucleotides) under rhizosphere metagenome. Its description in RNAcentral is "partial ribosomal RNA internal transcribed spacer region". The record is from RNAcentral.
AGGUGGAGCAGGCCUCGCGCUUGCACCUCCCUCCCUUUGCAUACCGUCAACCGUUGCUCGAGCCGGUGGCCCCCGGGCCCCGGCGAGAGACCACAACCACUCUUUUUUAGAUUGUCUGAGUAAACAUACAAUAGAAUAAAACUUUCAACAACGGAUCUCUUGGUUCC